RNAcentral lists this ribosomal RNA (429 nucleotides) under Chloroflexota bacterium. Its description in RNAcentral is "Chloroflexi bacterium partial 16S ribosomal RNA". It matches the Rfam family "Bacterial small subunit ribosomal RNA", at positions 355 to 776 of the family's 1533-position model. Lineage: Bacteria; Bacillati; Chloroflexota. The record is from RNAcentral.
UAGGGAAUCUUCGGCAAUGGACGAAAGUCUGACCGAGCAACGCCGCGUGAGUGAAGAAGGUUUUCGGAUCGUAAAACUCUGUUGUUAGAGAAGAACAAGGACGUUAGUAACUGAACGUCCCCUGACGGUAUCUAACCAGAAAGCCACGGCUAACUACGUGCCAGCAGCCGCGGUAAUACGUAGGUGGCAAGCGUUGUCCGGAUUUAUUGGGCGUAAAGCGCACGCAGGCGGUUGAUUGAGUCAGAUGUGAAAUCCCCGGGCUUAACCCGGGAAUUGCAUCUGAUACUGGUCAGCUAGAGUCUUGUAGAGGGGGGUAGAAUUCCAUGUGUAGCGGUGAAAUGCGUAGAGAUGUGGAGGAAUACCGGUGGCGAAUGCGGCCCCCUGGACAAAGACUGACGCUCAGGUGCGAAAGCGUGGGGAGCAAACAGG